GUUCCUCCAAGUAUCCUUGGCCAUUGGUCAGGGGUCCCAUUAGAGAAACAUAUCUAUGUGUGUUUAUCAUCGUCAGUAAUGAAUAUGCUGCCAGCAACUGGUGGCCAGCCCCUGAAGGUGUCAUCAUGAACAAAAUGACAGAGGAGGACCCUAGGUGAUACAAACUUUGGCGAUGUGUGUCUGAAUGUGACAAUCCCCCAGAAAGUGGUGUUCUCGAAGUAUGGCAGGCAGAUGGGAGCACGAACCUGCAGCUUUUACCAAUUAUUGGCGGUGUGAAAUUGGGUGAGUUUCAAGCUGCCUUCUCUCGCCUGUGAAUUUGAUGGCAAUGU
Molecule: long non-coding RNA, 329 nt
Filed under: Rattus norvegicus (Norway rat)
Lineage: Eukaryota; Metazoa; Chordata; Mammalia; Rodentia; Muridae
Description: long non-coding RNA NONRATT032718
Source: RNAcentral